Molecule: ribosomal RNA, 513 nt
Filed under: uncultured bacterium
Lineage: Bacteria
Description: partial 16S ribosomal RNA
Rfam family: Bacterial small subunit ribosomal RNA
Source: RNAcentral
GACGAACGCUGGCGGCAUGCCUAAUACAUGCAAGUCGAGCGAACAGAUGAAGUGCUUGCACUUCUGACGUUAGCGGCGAACGGGUGAGUAACACGUAAGGAAUCUACCUAUAAGCGGGGGAUAACAUUCGGAAACGGGUGCUAAUACCGCAUAAAAUCUUCUUCCGCAUGGAAGAAGAUUGAAAGACGGCUCUGCUGUCACUUAUAGAUGACCUUGCGGUGCAUUAGUUAGUUGGUGGGGUAACGGCCUACCAAGACGAUGAUGCAUAGCCGAACUGAGAGGGUAAUCGGCCACAUUGGGACUGAGACACGGCCCAAACUCCUACGGGAGGCAGCAGUAGGGAAUCUUCCGCAAUGGGCGAAAGCCUGACGGAGCAAUGCCGCGUGAGUGAAGAAGGCCUUCGGGUCGUAAAACUCUGUUAUAAGAGAAGAACAAAUUGUAGAGUAACUGCUACAGUCUUGACGGUAUCUUAUCAGAAAGCCACGGCUAACUACGUGCCAGCCGCCGCGGUAA